Molecule: long non-coding RNA, 1027 nt
Organism: Rosa rugosa (rugosa rose)
Lineage: Eukaryota; Viridiplantae; Streptophyta; Magnoliopsida; Rosales; Rosaceae
Exons: 3
Source: RefSeq, a predicted model, not a curated record
CAUCAGAUCUAAAACCUAGACCUCUCUCCUCUCUCCUCUUUCCCUCUAUCUUCUACCCCUAGACCCCAAAUCCAUCAUUUUGAAACCUUGGACCUCUCUUCUCUCUCCUCUCCCCGACAACCAAACCAGUUUCCACCUCAUAGGAUGGAUGGUGAAUUCAUCCCAUCACUCUCGCUUCAAAACAGACCGGAGAGAGCCCACUCUUUUCCAAUUCUUCGAGUCCUCUUUCUCUUACAUAAUCCAAAGCAACCUCUCUAUAUAUGUUUGCAGAAAAACCCGAAGCUCGAGCUCCUUUGACCCCAUGAACGGGUCAAGAAGAUCGAGUCGGUGCCUAGCAUAGAUGACGAAGAACCCCAUCGCAACUGAUUCUCUCCCGAAAGUUGUCUCCCCUCUCCUCUCUCAUGCUCAUCGAUUGUGUUGAUCUUUGAUUGUAAUUUGAUUUCAUAAGAGAAGGAACUUCCCCAAAUGGGUCUCUCAGAUGCGCCCCAGAAAUGGUUUAAGCUCAAAUCCUCAAAUAGGCAUCCACUCAGUGCUCUGUCUUUUCAUGGCGGUCUAUUUGUUCAUUCUUCUCUUGUUAUAUAUAUGUUUUUGUUGUUCCAUUUGCUCAGUUUUUGUGAAAUUUGCUUGACUAAUUAGUUUCAUUAAUUAUUUGAAUGGUUACUUCGAAGCAUAGGUCUGCUUUCUCAUGCAUCAUCAACUGUGUUUGUUAUCUGCUGUUGUAUUCAUCAAUCAGAUUUAGCUAUAGAUGAGACCAAUUCUAGAAUAACAUAAUGAAUUGUUGCUGGUUUGGGUCAAUCUUGGAACUGUCUGAUGUUUCUGCCUAAUAUAUUUUUGUGGGUAAUUCGGUAUUGUUGUGCUUCUGCAACAGUUCAUGGUUGUAUACUAGAAUUACUGAACAAGAAACUUGAAAACCAGAAAUGGGUAUCACGUAGAGGCACUGUGUUGAGCUCCUUCACAACUAAAGCUGCUUCUUUGGAAGGUAAGGCUUUCUCUACCUUCUUGGAGCAAACUCAGCAGCUUUAGCUAC